GGUUAAGAUAAUAAGAGCGCAGGGUGGAUGCCUUGGCACUAAGAGCCGAUGAAAGACGUGAUAAGCUGCGAAAAGCUGCGGGGAGGAGCAAAUAUCCCAUGAUCCGCAGAUAUCUGAAUGGGGAGACCCGGCCAGGAAGACCCUGGUCACUGCAUGGUGAAUCCAUAGCCAUGCAGGGGGAACCCGGUGAACUGAAACAUCUAAGUAGCCGGAGGAAGAGAAAGAAACAUCGAUUUCGUAAGUAGCGGCGAGCGAACGCGAAAGAGCCCAAACCGGAAUGCGUGCAUUCCGGGGUUCGGACUGCAUACGGUAUUGGCAGAAGAUAGGAGAAAGGUUUUGGAAAAGCCUGCCGGAGAGGGUGAGAGCCCCGUAUCCGAAAUCAGGAGCCAGCCAGCAGGAUCCAGAGUACCACGAGACACGUGAAACCUUGUGGGAAUGAGCGGGGACCACCCCGUAAGGCUAAAUACUACUUAGUGACCGAUAGCGCAUAGUACUGUGAAGGAAAGGUGAAAAGGACCCCGGGAGGGGAGUGAAAGAGAACCUGAAACCCUGUGUUUACAAGCUGUGGAACUAUUUUAAAGUAGGACCGCGUACUUUUUGUAGAACGGUCCGGCGAGUUGCCACUGCUGGCAAGGUUAAGUGCCAGAGGCACGGAGCCGAAGGGAAACCAAGUCUUAAUAGGGCGAAAGUCAGCAGGGGCAGACCCGAAACCGGGUGACCUAUCCAUGUCCAGGUUGAAGCUGCCGUAAGAGGCAGUGGAGGACCGAACCCACAUCCGUUGAAAAGGGUGGGGAUGAGGUGUGGAUAGCGGAGAAAUUCCAAUCGAACCCGGAGAUAGCUGGUUCUCCUCGAAAUAGCUUUAGGGCUAGCCUCAUGAUAGUCUGCUGGAGGUAGAGCACUGAAUUGCCUAGGGGGCGUCAAAGCUUACCAAAGCAUAUCAAACUCCGAAUGCCAGACAGAUGUUUCAUGGGAGUCAGACCAUACGAGAUAAGUUGGAUGGUCAAAAGGGAAAGAGCCCAGACCACCGGCUAAGGUCCCAAAGUGCGUGUUAAGUGGAAAAGGAUGUGGGAUUUCGAAGACAACUAGGAUGUUGGCUCAGAAGCAGCCAUUCAUUCAAAGAGUGCGUAAUAGCUCACUAGUCGAGAGGUCCUGCGCCGAAAAUGUCCGGGGCUGAAACACGACACCGAAGCCGUGGAAUCACGUAGUGAUUGGUAGAGGAGCAUUCUUAAACGGUGGAAGCUGUACCGGAAGGAGCAGUGGACGGUUAAGAAGAGAGAAUGCCGGAAUGAGUAGCGAGAAAGAAGUGAGAAUCUUCUUGGCCGAAUAUCUAAGGUUUCCAGAGUAAAGCUGAUCUGCUCUGGGUAAGUCGGGGCCUAAGGCGAGGUCGAAAGACGUAGUCGAUGGAUAACAGGUUGAGAUUCCUGUACCGCAUGAAAUCAGAACUGUGGGGACACAGACAGGAAGAGGGAGCCGGGAAUGGAAAGUCCGGUCCAAGCGAGGUAGGAGUACCGCCGGCAAAUCCGCGGUGCGAUCCGAAGACGUGACGGGGAGCGAACAUAAGUAGCGAAGCCCUUGCCCCUGGCUGUCAAGAAAAGCCGCUAUCGUAUUUCAUGUGCCCGUACCGUAAACCGACACAGGUGGAUGAGGAGAGAAUCCUAAGGCCGACGGGAGAAGUGUUGUUAAGGAACUCGGCAAAAUGGCCCCGUAACUUCGGGAGAAGGGGUGCCUGCGAGAGCAGGCCGCAGAGAAUUGGCCCAAGCAACUGUUUAGCAAAAACACAGGUCUAUGCAAAACCGCAAGGUGAAGUAUAUGGGCUGACGCCUGCCCGGUGCUGGAAGGUUAAGGGGAGGGCUUAGAGCAAUCGAAGGUCUGAACUUAAGCCCCAGUAAACGGCGGCCGUAACUAUAACGGUCCUAAGGUAGCGAAAUUCCUUGUCGGGUAAGUUCCGACCCGCACGAAAGGCGUAAUGAUUUGGGCACUGUCUCAACAACACACCCGGUGAAAUUGAAAUACCAGUGAAGAUGCUGGUUACCCGCGCCAGGACGGAAAGACCCCAUGGAGCUUUACUCUAGCUUGAUACUGGGAUUCGGUACUGCAUGUACAGGAUAGGUGGGAGACGUGGAAUCAUGGACGCCAGUCCAUGAGGAGUCGCUGUUGGGAUACCACCCUUGCAGUAUUGGAUUUCUAACCAGCAGCCGUGAUCCGGCUGGGGGACAAUGUCAGGUGGGGAGUUUGACUGGGGCGGUCGCCUCCGAAAGGGUAUCGGAGGCGCUCAAAGGUUCCCUCAGAAUGGUCGGAAACCAUUCGCAGAGUGCAAAGGCAGAAGGGAGCUUGACUGUGACACCGACGGGUGGAGCAGGUACGAAAGUAGGACUUAGUGAUCCGGUGGUAUAAAGUGGGAUUGCCAUCGCUCAACGGAUAAAAGCUACCCUGGGGAUAACAGGCUUAUCACUCCCAAGAGUUCACAUCGACGGAGUGGUUUGGCACCUCGAUGUCGGCUCAUCGCAUCCUGGAGCUGUAGCAGGUUCCAAGGGUUGGGCUGUUCGCCCAUUAAAGCGGUACGCGAGCUGGGUUCAGAACGUCGUGAGACAGUUCGGUCCCUAUCCGGCGUGGGCGCAGGAGAUCUGAGAGGAGCUGUCCUUAGUACGAGAGGACCGGGAUGGACGGACCGCUGGUGUAUCUGUUGUCGUGCCAACGGCAUAGCAGAGUAGCCAAGUCUGGAAGGGAUAAACGCUGAAGGCAUCUAAGCGUGAAGCCCCCCUCAAGAUGAGAUCUCCCAUUCUUCGGAAGUAAGACCCCUUGAAGACGACGAGGUAGAUAGGGCAGGGGUGGAAGUGCAGCAAUGCAUGGAGCUGACUGUCACUAAUCGGUCGAGGUCUUAACCAG
Molecule: ribosomal RNA, 2886 nt
Organism: Anaerostipes sp. 992a
Lineage: Bacteria; Bacillati; Bacillota; Clostridia; Lachnospirales; Lachnospiraceae
Rfam family: Bacterial large subunit ribosomal RNA
Source: Rfam